AAGUCGUAACAAGGUUUCCGUAGGUGAACCUGCGGAAGGAUCACUAAAGAGAACUUGCCCCUCGGGGUAGAUCUCCCACCCUUUGUUUAUUAUACUCUGUUGCUUUGGCGGGCCUGCCUCACGGCUGCCGGCGUAAGCUGGCUCGCGUCCGCCAGAGACCCCUAAACUCUGAAUAUUGUCGUCUGAGUAAUAUAUAAUAAGUUAAAACUUUCAACAACGGAUCUCUUGGUUCUG
RNAcentral lists this unclassified non-coding RNA (234 nucleotides) under fungal sp. RNAcentral's name for it is "partial contains small subunit ribosomal RNA, internal transcribed spacer 1, and 5.8S ribosomal RNA". The stretch from base 1 to 46 matches the Rfam family "Eukaryotic small subunit ribosomal RNA", at positions 1786 to 1831 of the family's 1831-position model. Lineage: Eukaryota; Fungi. The record is from RNAcentral.